Molecule: transfer RNA, 75 nt
Filed under: Felis catus (domestic cat)
Lineage: Eukaryota; Metazoa; Chordata; Mammalia; Carnivora; Felidae
Also listed under: 1 other name
Rfam family: tRNA
About the family: Transfer RNA (tRNA) molecules are approximately 80 nucleotides in length. Their secondary structure includes four short double-helical elements and three loops (D, anti-codon, and T loops).
Source: Rfam by way of RNAcentral
ACCUGGCUGGCUCAGUAAGUAGAGCAUGGGACUGUUGAUCUCUCAGUGUUAUGAGUUCAAGCCCCAUGUCGGGCA